RNAcentral lists this long non-coding RNA (23050 nucleotides) under Fragaria vesca (wild strawberry). RNAcentral describes it as "long non-coding RNA (FVES_LNC001107)". Lineage: Eukaryota; Viridiplantae; Streptophyta; Magnoliopsida; Rosales; Rosaceae. The record is from RNAcentral.
AUACUGCAUUUUACCCUAUCCGGUUUACCUAAAAAUGGCUUGCUUUUAAUCUGGUCAAUUUCACAUAUUUUUAAUCAUAAAAAUUACAGAAGUCUUGAUUCUCCAAACAAAAAGUAUUAUAAAUGAUUCUAUUAAUACAUUAAGUAGACUGGUUUAAUACAUAAGCAGGCCGGUUAACUUAGUCUGAUAUCAAGUUAAAUCAGUUAAUGACCUAAUGCAUGUGAACAAGUUAAAGAACAUAGAGAUACACCAUAAGGUCACCAUAUCAUUGGUAGACGAUGCUACAUUCUCUUAAGAUUUUAUUAUGAAAGGCCCACCUAGGGCCGCCAAGGGGGCCGCCUUGACAUGCCUAGGGUUGCUAAAGGGACGUCUUGACCCGUCAAGGGCUGCCUUUACACGCCUAAUGCUGUUUUGACCUCCCUAAGGCCCGCCAUGACCCGCCUAGGGCCCGUCUUGGGCUGUCUUGACCCGCAUUGGACCGCCUUGACCCGCCUUGGGCCGUCUAGGGCACGCCUAGGGCCCCAAGGGGACGUCUUAACCCGUUAAGGGGCUGCCUUUACAUGCCUAGGGCUGUUUUGACCUCCCUAAGGCUGCCAAGGGACCGCCUUGACCCGUUUAGGGCAACCAUGAUGCCGCCAUGACUCGCCAAGGGGUCACCAUGACCCUCCUAGGCCCGUCUAGGGCCGCCUUAACCUGCCUUGACCCGUCUUGAACCGCCUUGACCCUCCUAGACCCGCCAAGGGGAUGCAUUUACACGCUUUGACCCUUCUAGGCCUGCCUAAGGCCACCUUAACCCGUCUAGGGCCGCCAAGAGGCCGCCUUGACCAGCUUAGGGGACGCCUAGGGCUGCUAUCAUGACGUCUUGACCCGUCUAGGGGCAGCCUUGAUCCUCCUAACCCCCCUAGGGCCGCCUUGACGCUCAUAGACCAGCCUAUGGCCACAAAGAAGCCGCCAUGACUCGCCAAAGGGUCGCCAUGACCCUCCUAGGCCCAUCUAGGGCCACCAAGAAGCUGCCAUGACUCACCAAAGGGUCACCAUGACCCUCCUAAGCCCGUCUAGGCCGCCAAGUGGCCCACUUAACCCGCCUUGACCCUCCUCGGCUUUGCUAGGCCCACGUAGGGCAGCCAAGGGGGCGCCAUGACCCACCUAGGGCCGCCAAAGGGCUGCCUUUACACGCUUAGGGCUGUUUUGACCUCCCUAGGGCACCAUGGGGCCGUUUUGACCUGUCUAGGGGCUGCCCUAACCCUCCUAGACCCGCCUAGGUCCGCUUAGGUCUACCUUGACCGUCUUAGACCUGCUUAGGGCCACCAAGAAGCCGCCAAGACUUUCCAAAGGGUCGCCAUGACCCUCAUAGGCCCGUCUAGGGCCGCCAAGGGGGCGCCAUAACCCGCCUUAGAGUCUGCUGCAUCUAGACCGUUAGAUUUUUAACCGCAAAAUCUGGGUUGUCCAUUUGAGAUCAUAUGUUGAUGUGCAUUAGAUCGAGUCCAAAUUGACUUCAUUAGAUUGAGUCCAAAUUGACUUUGUCUCCACUCUUCGAUCGUUCUCUGUCGUCCGGCCGCCUUGACCCUCCUAGACCCGCCUACGGCCACCAAGAAGCCGCCUUGACACUAAAGCAAAUGGUAUUCAUUAAACGGGGAAUACUGUUUGUUAACCAGUUUUUUGGAAAUUCUUUUUCUGAUAAUUGAACACCCACCCACGGAAUUUAAAGAACCUAAAGGAGCAUGAGUCAUAUAUUCCGCAGAACGCCGCUCUUGCCAAGGCUGUAUGUCUUUUCUCGCGGUCCAGAAUAAAAAACUAAGAAUUUGGACCCGCCUUGACCGUCCUAGACCCGCCUAGGGCCGCCAAGAAGCCGCCUUGACCCUCCUAGACCCGCUAAGGGGCUGCCUAGGGCCACUAUGACCCUCCUAGACCCGCUUAGGGAUACCAAGAAGCCGCCAUGACUGGCCAUGAGCCACCUAGGCUGGUCAAGGGGCUACCUUUACGCGCCUUGACCUUCCUUGGGCCUCCUUAACCCUCCUCGGCCCUUCUAGGCCCACCUAGGGCAACCAAGGGGGAGCCAUGACCACCUAGAGCCGCCAUGGGGAUGCCUUUACACGCUUGACCCACCUAGGGCCGUAGAGGGGGCCGCCUUAACACGCAUAGGGCCGCCAAAGGGUCACCUUGACACGCCUAGGGCCACCAAAGGGGACAUCUUGACCCGCAAAGAGGCUGCCUUUACACGCCUAAUGUUGUUUUGACCUCCCUAGGGCCUACUAUGACCCGCCUAGGUCCGCCAAGGGGCUGCCUACGUCCGCCAUGGGGCCACCUUGACCCACUUUGGCCCGUCUUGGGCCGCUUUGACCCGCCAUGACCUGCCUUGGCCCGGCUUGAGCCACUUUGGACCGUCUUGGGCCGCCUUGACCCUCAUACACCCGCCUAGGGCCACCAAGAAGCCGCUAUGACUUGCCAUGAGCCGCCUAGGCUGGUCAAGGGGCUACCUUUACACGCCUUGACCCUCCUUGGGCCUCCUUAACCCUCCUCGGCCCUUCUAGGCCCACUUAGGGCAGCCAAGGGGGAGACAUGACCCACCUGGAGCCGUCAUGGGGCUGCCUUUACACGCCUUGAUCCUCCUAGGGCCGCCUUGACCCGUCUAGGGCUGCGGAGGGGGCCGCCUUGACACGUCUAGGGCCGCCAAGGGGUCGCCUUGACACGUCUAGGGCCGCCAAGGGGUCGCCUUGACAUGCCUAGGGCCACCAAAGGGUACAUCUUGACCCGCCAAGAGGCUGCCUUUACAUGCCUAAUGUUGUUUUAACCUCCCUAGGGCUUGCCAUGACCUGUCUAGGGCCGCCAAAGGGCUGCCUACGUCCGCCAUGGGGCCGCCUUGACCCGCCAUGACAUGCCUUGGCCCGGCUUGACCCACUUUGGACCGCCUUGGGCCGUCUUGACCAGCCUUAGGCCGCUAUGACCCGCCUUGAGCUGCCUUUACCCUCCUCAGCUCUUCUAGGCCCACCUAGGGCCGCCAAGGAAUUGCCUUUACACGCCUUGACCCUCCUAGGCCUGCCUAAGGCCACCUGUACCCGUUUAAGGCCGCCUUGACCUACCUAGGGCCGCCAAGGGGCUGAUUUGACCUCUCUAGAGCCUGCCAAGGGGUUGCCAUGGGGCCACCUUGACUCGUCUUGGGCCGCUUUAACCCGCCCUAACCCGCCUUGAACAGCCUUGAACCGCCUUGGGCCGCCUUAACCCUCCUAGACCCGCUUAGGGCCGCCUUGACCCGCCAAGGGGUCGCCUUGGACCGCCUUAAUCCUUGUAGACCUGCCUUGUCCCGCCUUUAGCCGCUUUGACUCGCCUUGAACCGGCUAGGGCCGCCUUGACCCGCCUUGAACCGCCUUGACCCUCCAAGACCGCUUAGGGCCGCCUUGACCCUCCUAGACCGCAGGGCUGCCGUAGGGACACCAAAGGGUUGCCUUUACACGCCUAAUGCUAUUUUGACCUCCCUAGGGCCCGCCAUGACCCGCCUAGGGCUGCCAAGGGGCUGCUUACGUCUGCCAUGGUGCCACCUUAACCCGCCUUGGCCCGUCUUGGGCCGCCUUGACCCGCCUUGGCCUGUCUUGAGCCGCCAUGACCCGCCUUGACCAGCUUUGACCCGCAUUGGGCCGCCUUUACUCGUCUUGAAUCGCCUUGGGCCACCUUGACCCUCUUAGACCCGCCUUGACCCUCCUAGACCCGCGUAGGGACACUAAGAAGCCGCCAUGACUAGCCACGGGGUCUCAAUGGCUCUUCUAGGGCCGUUAAGGGGCCACCUUAACCCUUCUUAGGCCGUCUUGAUUGGUCUUGGACCGCCUUGACCCAUCUUGGGCCGCCUUCACCCUCCUCGGCUCUGCCAAGCCCACCUAGGGAAGCCAAGGGGGCGCCAUGACCCACCUAGGGUCACCACGAGGCUGCCUUUACACGCCUUAACCCUCCUAGGCCCCCUUGAACUUCCAUGGCUCGCCUUGGAACGCCUAGGGCUGACAUAGGGCCGCCUUGACCCGCCUUUGACCUGUCUUGUGCCGCCUUGACCCACUUUGGCCCGCCUAGGGCCAUCUUGACCUGUCAAAGGGCCGCCAUGGGGUUACCUUAAUCCUUCUAGACCCGCCUUGACCCGCCUUUGACCACUUUGACUCGCCUUGAACCGGCUUCGGCCGCCUUGACCCUCCUAGAACCACCUAGGGCCACCAAGAAGCCGCCAUGACUCGCCAAGGGGUCGCCAUGACCCUUCUAGGUCUGUCUAGGGCCGCCUUAACCAGCCUUGGCCCGCCUUAGGUCUCCUUGGGCCGCUUUCACCCUCCUCGUCCCUGCCUGGCCCACCUAGGGCCGCCAAGGGGGCGUGAUGACCCACCUAGGGCCACCACGAGGCUGCCUUUACACGCCUUGACCCUCCUAGGCCUGCCUUGGGCCACCUUGACUCGUCUAGAGACGCCAAGGGGGCCGCCUUGACACGCUUAGGGCCACCAAAGGGACGUCUUGACAAGCGAAGGGGUUACCUUUACACUCCUAUUGCUGUUUUGACCUCCCUAGAGCCCGCCGUGACCCGCCUAUGGCCGCCAAUGGGCUGCCUACGUCCGUCAUGGGGCCACCUCGACCCGUCUUGGACCGCCUUGCGCCAUGACUCACCAAGGGGUCUUAAUGACUCUUCUAGGGCCGCCUUCACCCUCCUCAGCCCUGCCAGGCUCAUCUAGGGCAGCUAAAGGGGCGCCAUGACCCACCUAGGGCCGUCGCGGGGCUGCCUUUACAUGCCUUGACCCCCCUAGGCCUGCCUGGGGCCACCUUGACCUGUUUAGGGUCGCUAAGAGGCCGCCUUAACCUACCUAGGGCCGCUAAAGGGCCGUCUUGACACGCUUAGGGCCGCCAAAGGGACGUCAUGACCUGCUGAGGGGCUACUUUUACAUGCCUAAGGUUGUUUUGACAUCCCUAGGGCCCACCAUGACCCGCUUAUUGUCGCUAAGGGGAUGCCUAGGGCCGCCAUGGGGCCACCUUGACCCGUCUAGGGCCGCCUUAACCUGCUUUGGGCCGCCUUGACCCGCCUUGGCCUGCCUUUGACCCGCCUUGAUUUGCCUUGGGUCGCCUUGACCCGCCUUGGACCGCCAUAGGCCGCCUUGACCCGCCUUGGACAGCCUUGACCCACCUUGGGCCGCCUUGAACCCCCUUGACCUUCGUAGACCCGCCUUGACCCUCCUAGACUCGCCAAGGGGCCGCCUUGACCCGCCUUGGCCUGACUUGACUCGCCUUGACCCUCCUAGACUCACCAAGGGUCGCCAUGGGGCCGCCUUGACCUGCCUUGGACCGCCUUUGCCCACCUUGACCUGCCUUGACCCGCCUUGGGCCACCAUGACCCGCCUUGACCCUCCUAGACCCGCCUAUGACCGCCUUGACCCUCCUAAGGCCACCUAGAAGCCGCCAUGACUCGCCAAGGGGUCGCCAUAACCCUUCUCAGCCCGUCUACGGCCGCUAAGUGGCCCUCUUAACCUGCCUUGACCUGUCUUGGGUAGCCUUGACCCUCCUCGGCUUUGCUAGCCCACGUAAGGCAGCCAAGGGGGCGCCAUGACCUAUGGAAAAGAGCAUGAAAAAUUUCCAAAGAUAAGAUUGCAUGGAACAAGCUUGUAUGAAUCUAUGAGCUCACUUCCAAUUCUUCAAAGUUUGUGUACGUAUACGUACUCUUGUGCAUGGAAAAUGAGAGAAGCAAAUGAUGUUGUAGAUGAAGAGAAAGUGAUGUAUGAAGGCAUUUAUGGGUGAAGAAAUAUGUUGCCAUCAAGCAUGAGAAGUUUGAAGAAGGAAAAUCAUUUUCACAUGGAGAUGAAGUUGCAAUGAAGCUCAAUGUUGCUCUAUAAAUAGAGCUUAUUUUCAAGAGAAUAAGGAGAAGGGGAGAGAGAGUGGAGAAUUAGACACAUUUGUGCUCUCUUUUUUUUCCCCUUUUUUUGGCUACUUUUUGUAUGAAUGUUUUGUAUUGUUUUAAGUAUGUUUUUAAUUUGUAUCAUGUCUUGCUAAUUUUCUUAACUAAGGUUAAGGAGGAAACCUGUCACAUCCCGACCCUUAUAUUUUUACCUUAUUUACUAGCGUGAUUAUAAUAAGAAUUUUACCGUCUCGAUCAUUGAGUAAAUAGUUUAAUUGGUCCCUAGAGGGGUUUCGGGGACGAUUAUGUGCGGAGGAUUAUUCGUAUGAGGAAAAUACGACUACGGUAAAAAUGGUAAAUUUUAGCUAGUAAAAGGUAAUUUUUAUUCGGGUAUUAUUUUUCGGGGUGUUUUUAAUUUUGGAAGUUUGGGUUAAAAAGGGAGUGUUGGGUCGGCUGGGCCGAGCCCAACCCAUUUUCUUCUUCUUUUCUUUCUCUCUCCCUCCCGAUUUCCUCUCCGCACCCGAGCCUCCCGCUGCCCGGUUUUCCGGCCUCCCUCCCGCCGUCGUCCGGCCUCCGUUCGCCGCCGGACCGGUUCCGUUCGGUCGGUCUCCCUCCCAGCAACAUUUCUAGACCGGUGACAGCCUCCCUAGCGCCGCCGUGAGUGAGCGGUGCCGCCCGAAAGCUUCGACUGCCGAAUCGGUUUUUUCGCCGGAACUUCCUCCUCCGGCCACCAAUCCGGGCAAGCUUGGUAUGGUUUUGUAGCCCUCCAACCCAGCAACCUUGCCCUAAAAGGACUCACUCCCUCUUGAGCUAGGUAAGGAGAAAUUUGAGGUGGAAGUUUUAUGGUAUUUUUGAUGUUUUUAGUCGAUUGCCCUAGUUAGGCUUGGAAUUGGUGUUUGUGCUAGUUAUGAAAGUUGUAGAGCUUGAUGAGAGGAAGAUGCUGUUAAAAUUUCAUAGGUUUUGGAGGUCGCCGGAAUUGACCUCCGGCCGCCGCUGCCGGCGGAGCCGCCGGCGGCGGCGCCGCCGGUUGGGAGAUUUUAAUGUUGUUAAAUUUGGAAUAUUUUAACGUCAUUUUAAUUUGACGAUUUUUAUUUUCUCUUGGAGAGCNNNNNNNNNNNNNNNNNNNNCAUUCGAUUUUCCUUAGAAUUAAUUGGGGUAAACAUAAAUAUUUUAUUAUUAAUUAUUUUUGUCCACUCACUCUAACGUUAUUAAAUGUUUUCCCCUGGGCCCUUCGUUUUAAAUUGCCCAGUCUGCAGAGUUCGGGUUGGAUCUAGUAGGAGACGAGGCAUAGUCACCCGCUUUUCGGCCAGUUUUCAUCAGUAGGUUACCUGUUCAACCUACUCGUGUUUUCUUGCUUCCGCUUGUGUUUAGUAGCUCUGAAUACUUUAGAAUUUUUGUAUAUUAUGUAAAGUUCAGAAGUGUAAUAUGAAAUUUUCGACUUAGGGUUGUCCAUCUGCAAGGGAGAUUUGCUUAAUCUUUUCAGUAAAUUUUCCUUGGAGGUGGUCCCCGCACGACUUACUCUGGGUUUCAGGGUGAAAUUCGGGGUGGGUCGUGUCAAAACCACAUUAUGAAAUAAGUUUCUUUUAAUUAUCUAUCAAUUCCCAUAGUUAUGUUACUCAUGCCUGUGACUCUUGCUUCUUCGCUUCUUAAUUAUGAACAUCAAAUGCAUUAAUAAAAUCUUUGUUCCUUUCGCCUCUAAUGUCAUGCAUUUUUGGUAGUUUGAAAGUCACUUUUAUUAAUCCAUGCUUGGCUUUGUAAAUUAUGUAAUAUGAAUUCCUUUGAUCUAUUGUCAUUCAAAUGAGCUUGUUUCACAUUUGAUGCUUUGUAAACACUUUGAUCUUUUGUAGUUUCAAUAAGUUUGUGUCCAUGUGAUGCUUUGAUGUUCAUAAUUAAGAAACGAAGAAGAGUCUACUUCAAAUAUAUUUCUUUGUAAACACUUUGAUCUUUUGUAGUUUCAAUAAGUUUGUGUACAUGUGAUGCUUUGAUGUUCAUAAUUAAGAAGCGAAAAAGAGUCUACUUUAGAUAUAUUUCAUGUGUGCUUCAUUGAUAAAUCUUAAGAAAGCAAUAUUAAUUUCUAGAUUGCUACUCCUUAUUCGAGAAUUAGUAGAUAAUAUUUAGAGACUUAUUGAGUAAUGUGGUGGAAUCUGUUAUCUUAGUUAAUUCGCAUCAAGGUAAUCUUUAUCUAUUUUAUUUGUCUUAACUACUUCACCAUCAACUUUCAUUCAAUUAGGUUAGUGUUAAAUUAAUUUGGAUUAGAUUAGUUUUUUCUAAUUUUCAUACAUUCCCUGUGGAUUUGACCUCGCUCUUGUAUAUCUGUACUGCAACUGAUUCGUGCGCUUAUAAGUAACAUUUUAAAACACAUCACCGCCAAGGUGCCGCCUUGACCUGCCUUGACCCUAUUCGGCCCUACUAGGCACACCUAGGGCAACCAAAGGGGUGCACAACCCACAUAGGGCCGCUAAGCGGCCGUCUUGACCCGCCCUGGCCUGACCACCUUAACCCUCUUAGGGCUGCCAAGAGGUUGCCUUAACCCUUCUAAGGCAACCAAGGGGCCGCCUUAACCCAGCUAGGGUAGCCAAGAGGCCGCCUUUACCCGUCUUGGCCCGCCUUGAUCUGCCUAGGGGUUGCCAAGACCCGCCUAGAGUCGCCAAGGGGCCGCCUUGACCCGCCUUGGCCCGACUUGGCCUGUCUUUACCCGUCUUGGACUGCCUUGCUGCCUUGACCCACCUUGUUCCGCCUUAGGCUGCCUUGACAUUCCUAGACCCGCCUAAGGUUGCCUUGACCCUCCUAGGCUGCCUAAGGCCACCAAGAAGCCGUCAUGACUCGCCAAGGGGUCGCCAUGACCCUCCUAGGCCCAUUUAGGGCUGUCUUAACCCGCCUAUGGCCGUCGAUGGGCCAUCUGAACCCACCUAGAGCAGCCAAGGGGUCGUCUUGACCCACCAAGGGGAUGCCUUUACACGCCUAGGGUUGUUUUGACCUCCCUAGGGGCCUUAUGGACCCAUCUUGACCCGCCUUGGCCCGCCAUGACUCGCCGUGACCCUCUUAGGCUCGUCUAGGGCCGCCUUGACCCUCCUAAAACCGGCUAGGGCCGCCUUGACCCUCCUAGACUGGCCAAGGGGCUGCCUUGACCCUCCUUGGACCGCCUUGGCCCACCUUGACCUGCCAUGACCCGCCUUGGACCGCCAUUACCCGCCUUGACCCUCCUAGGCCCUUCUAGGGCUGCCUUGACUCUCCCAGACCUGCCUUGACCCUCCUAGGACCACCAAGAAGCCGUCAUGACUCGCCAAGGGGUCGCCAUGACCCUUCUCAGCCAAUCUAGGGCCGCUAAGUGGCCCCCUUAACCCGCCUUGACCCACCUCGGCUUUGCUAGUCCCACGUUGGGCAGCCAAAGGGGAGCCAUGACCCACCUAUAGCCGCCAAGGGGCUACCUUUACACGCUUAGGGCUGUUUUGACCUCCCUAAGGCCGUUAUGGGCCUGUCUUGACCCGUCUAGGGGCUGCCUUGACCCUCCUAACCCGUCUAGGGCCACCAAGAAACCACCAUGACUCGCCAAGGGGUCGCCAUGACCCUCAUAGGCCGGUCUAGGGCCGCCAUAAUGACUUGGAUACAAUUCACGCAAACGAACUUAUUGUUGUCAAGAUAGGAAAGUAUUUGUGCCCAAGUUAUCGUACCACGGGAAUUAGUGGCUAACCCACAAUCCUAAGCUAAUCGGAACAAAAGUCACUAAGCAAACAAAGAAAAAGAAGAAAAAUGCUACUCUAAAGCACCAAGCCUUAGCAAUGCUCGGCUUCGGUUAUCACCAAAGCCUAAUCAAUACUAAAUGCCUAGUGAUGGGUAAUUACAAUGAGUUGAUAUAUAAAAUGGAGAUUGAAUGAGAAUUAAUUAAAUUGACGAAAAACUAAAUGAAAAAUAAACUACUGACUAAUGAACUAGAGAAUGAUGAGAACAUGGGAGUGUCGGGUGAUCCACACUAACUCAUAUGCAAACAACGAUACCAAUUUCACAAAUACAUAUCCUAUUGUAUCAAGUCCCGUAUCUAAUACCCGUUAAGGCUACUAGACCAAUUAUCCUUUCGGUGUAUCGAUUAUGCCGGUUAAGGCCACAAUCGACUCUCUAACAUGAGCAUUACGCCAGUUAAGGCCGUAACAUCCAAAUUAGAUGCCUAGAGUGCAAGAUAAUAGAGACCCAAGCAAGCUUAGCUACAAUCAAGCUAGCUAAUGGUUACCACGCUUCAAAUCAUAGAUGCACAAGACUAAUAAGUUGUCAAUUUAUCAAUCUAUCCAUCAAUUGUUCAUAACAUUAUCUCAAAGGGUGACAAAGCCUAGAAACAUGCUUAUAAGGACCAACACAUUCGGAUUAAAAGCAUAUACAAUGAAAAUUGCAUCUAUUAUAAUUAAAGUACCAACAUUUAUACAAAAUGAGUUUAGGGCUUCACACCCUAACUCCCAAAAUAGAACUACUCUCUACCCAUAAUCAAAUACAUCAUCAAUAGCGUAUAAGAUAAAGAAAUAGACAAUAAGGAAGAGAGGGAGAGAGCUAGCUUGGUCACUUCAAGCUAUGAGCUAGUAUGAACCCAAAAAAGCCUUUCACCCAACUACCCAAUAGAAGAGGUGGUGCUCUUGAAGAUGAUGCCUUGAAAGCCUUGAGUGAGUCCUUCAGAUUCCCAAAGAAUCUCUAUCUAAUUUAUGAAAUGAGAAAAGAGGAUGAGAAGGUGAAUCGGUGGGAGAGGGCAAAGCACUUCCCUUCUUCACUGUGCGGCUGUGGUCUUCUCUGUCUGCGGCCCGUCUUCAAAAGUGGAUGAAUGAGAUGAUUAUAUAUGACUUGGUCCGGUUGUGUGGCCGUAGAGGAAAAGAAGUGUUUAGGCCACGUGGCAGCUCCUCAUUGGAAGAGGCAUGGGAUUAGCACAUGAGAGGGAAAUGGAAAAUGAGCACGUUUUGGCCUUUGGCAAUCAUAAUUAACCAAUUAACAAUUGGUUAAUUAAUUGAUUAACUACCAAUUUACUUCUUUCUCUUCUUCUUUUUGAGAAGAACUUCAUUUCGCUCUGAAAUUGUGCUAAUUCCCUAUGAAAUCUGCAUCAUUCUUAUUUCCUACAAAUAAACAAAAUGGGAUUAAUUACAUCGUAAUUGGCUUGAAUAUUAGCUUAGUUCAUGUGUUUAGAAUAUAAUUAAGUGUAUAAAAAUACACAUAAUCACAUAACCCGCCUUAGAGUUGGCUACAUCUGAACCGUUAGAUUUUUAACCGCAAAAUCUGGGCUGUCCAUUUGAGAUCAUAUAUUGAUGUGGAUCAACUUGGACUUCAUUAGAUGGAGUCCAGACUGACUUCGUCUCCACUCUUCGAUAGUUCUCUGUCGUCCGGCCGCCUUGACCCUCCUAGACCCACCUACGGCCACCAAGAAGCUGCCUUGACCCUCCUAGACCCGCCUAGGGCCUCCUUGACCCUCCUAGGCCCGCCAAGGGGCUGCUUAGAGCCGCCAUGGGGCCGCCUUGACCUGUCUUGGACUGCCUUGACCCGCCUUGAACCGCCUUGACCUGACUAGGGCCGCCUUGACCCUCCUAAACUUGCCUAGGGCCGUCAUGGGGCUGUCUUGACCAGCCUUGGCCCGUGUUGAACCAUCUUGGACCGCCUUGGCCCGUCUUGACCCGCCUUGACCCGUCUGGGCCCGCUUUGAACAGCCCUGGGCCGGCUUGACCCUCCUAGGGCCGCUUUGAUCCUCCUAGACCUGCUUAGGGCCACCAAUUAAGAAGCCGCCAUGACCCGCCUAAGCUCGUCAAAGGGCUGCUUUUACACGCCUUGACCCUCUUUGGCCCUCCUAGGGCCACCUUGACCCGUCUAGAGCCGCCUUGGCUCGCCUUAGGCCGCCUAGACCCGUCUUGUCCCGCCUUGACCCUCGUCGGCCCAUCUAGGCGCACCUAGGGCAGCCAAGAGGGAGCCAUGACCCACCUAGAGCCACCAAGGGGCUGCUUUUACAUGUCUUAACCCGUCUAGGGCCACGAAGGGGGCCGCCUUGACACGCUUAGGGCCGCGAAGAGGGCCACCUUGACACGCCAAGGGGCUAGGGCCCCCCAUGACCUGCCUAGGGCUGCCAAGGGGCUGCCUACAUCUGCCAUGGGGCCACCUUGACCCGCCUUGACCCGUCUUGACCCGCCAUGACCUGUCUUGGCCCGCCUUGACCCGCCUUGGACCACCUUGACCCGCCUUGGGCCGCCAUGACCCGCCUUGAACCGCCUUACGCCACCUUGACCCUCUUAGACCCACGUAGAGCCACCAAGAAGCCGCCAUGACUCGUCAAGGGGUCUUAAUAACUCUUUUAGGGCCGCCUUGACCCAUCUGAGUCCUCCUUAACCAGUCUAAGGCUACCUUGACUUCACCCUCCUAGGGCAGCCAAGGGGGUGCCAUGACCCACCUGGGGCCGCCACGAGGCUGCCUUUACACGCCAUGACCCUCAUACGCCCGCCUAGGGCCACCUUGACCCGUUUAGGGAUGCCAAGACGCGGCCUUGACCUGCCUAGGGCCGCCAAGGGGCAGCCUUGACAAGCCUAGGGGACGUCAUGAUCCGCCGAGGGGCUGCCUUUACACGCCUUGGGUUAUUUUGAUUUCCCUAGGGCCCGCCAUGACCCGCCUAUGGCCGCCAAGGGGCUGCCUAGGGCCGCCAUAGGGCCACCUUGACCCGUCUAGGGCCGCCUUGACCCGCCUUCUGCCGCCUUGACCCGCUUUGGCCAGCCUUGAUCGACCUUGACCCUUCUUGACCCGCCUUGUACCGCCUUGACCCUCCUAGAAUCGCCAAGGGGCUGCCUAGGGCCGCCAUGGACCGCCUUGGCUCGCCUUUACCCUCUUUAGACCCGCCUUGGCUUGCCUUGGGACGUCAUGACCCGUCUUGAACCACCUUGGGCCACCUUGACCCUCCUAGACUUGUCUAGGCCACCAAGAAGCAGCCAUGACUCGCCAUGACCUGUCUAGGCACGUCAAGGUGCUGCCUUUACACGCCUUGACUUCCUAGGCCCGCCUUAAACCUCCUUGGCCCGCCUUAGGCCUCCUUGACCUGUCUUGCCCCGCCUUGGGCUGCCUUGACCCGUCUAGCUCGGGCCACUAAGGGACGUCUUGACCCGCUAAGGGGUGCCUUUACGCGCCUAGGUCUGUUUUGACCUCCCUAGGGCCGCCGAGGGCCGCCUUGACCCAUCUAAAGCCGAGAAAGGGGGCCACUUUGACACGCCUAGGGCCGCCAAAGGGGCCACCUUGACAAACCUAGGGACACCAAAGGGACGUCUUGACUCGCCAAAAGGUGCCUAUGCACGCCUAGGUCUGUUUUGACCUCCCUAAGGCCCACCAUGACCCGCCUAGGGCCGCCAAGAGGUUGCCUACAGCCUCCAUGGGGCUACCUUGACCCGUCUUGGGCCGUUUUGACAUGUUUUGGCUCGCUUUAACCCGCCUUGGCCUACUUUGACCCGCCUUGAUCAGCCUUAUCAUGUCUUGGGCUGCCUUGAACCUCCUUGGGCCGCCAAGAAGCCACCAUGACUCGCCAAGGUAUCGCCUUAACCCUCAUAGGGCAGACAAAGGGGUGCCAUGACCCAUCUAGGGCCGCCAAGGGUCUGCCUUUACAAGCCUUGACCUGUCUAGGGUCGCUAAGAGGCCGCCUUGACAUUUCUAGGGCCACCAAGAGGGCCGCCUUGACACGCCUAGGGCCGCCAAGGGGACGUCUUGACCCGCCAAACGGGCUGCCUUUACACGCCUAAUACUGUUUUGACCUCCCUAGGGCUCACCGGGACCCGCCUAGGGCCUGUUUGACUCGCCUUGGACCGCCUUGACCCUCCUUGGGCCGCCUUAACCCGCUUGACCCGCCAAGGGCCGCCUUGACCCUCCUGGACCCGCCAAGGGACUGCCUAGGGCCACCUUGACCCGCCUUAGACCGGCUUGGGCCGCCUUGACCUGCAUUGGCCCGUCUUCGGCCGCCUUGACCCGCCUUGAACGCCUUGACCCUCCUAGACCCGCCUAGGGCCACCAAGAACCCGCCAUGACCCGCCUUGACCCGCCAAGGGCCGCCUUGACCCUCCUAGACCCGCCAAGAGACUGCCUAGGGCCGCCAUGGGACCACCUUGACCCGCCUUGGACCCGCUUGGGCCGCCUUGACCCGCCUUGACCCUCCUAGACCCACCUAGGCCCACCAAGAAAUCGCCAUGACUCGCCAUGGGGUCGCCAUGACCCGCCUAGGCUCGUUUAGGGUCGCCAAGAGACUGCCUUAACCCACCUUGGCCCGCCAUUGGCCGCCUUGACCUGACUUGGACCGCCAUGACCCUCCUCGGCCCACCUAAGGCAGCCAAGGGGGCGCCAUGACGCACCUAGAGCUGCCAAGUGGCUGCCUGUUCACGCCUUGACCCGUCUAGGGCAGCCAAGAGGCCGCCUUGAUUUGCCUAGGGCACGCUUAGGGCCGCUAAGGGGAUGUCUUGACCCACCAAGGGGUUGCCUUUACAUGCCUAGGGCUGUUUUGACCUCCCUAGGGCCGCCAAGGGAUCGCUUUGACCAGUUUAGGGGCUGCCUUGACCCUCCUAGACUUGCCUUAACCCUCCUAGACCCGCCUAGGGUAACCAUGAUGCCGCCACGACUCGCCAAGAUGUCACCAUGACCCUGUUAGGCCGGUCUAGGGCCGCCAAGGGGCCACCUUAACCUACUUUGGCCUGUCUUGUCCCGUCUUGGCCCGUCUUGACCCUCCUAGACUAGCCAAGGGGCUGCCUAGGGCAACCAUGACCCACUUAAGGCCGCUAAGGGACUGCCUUUACAUGCCUAGGGCUGUUUUGACCUCCCUAGAGCCCGCUAAGGGGCUGCCUAUGGCAGUCAUGGGGCCACCUUGACUCAUCUAGGGCCGCCUUGACCCGCCUUGACCCACCUUGAACCGCCUUAACCCGCCUUUGGCCACAUUAACUCACCUUGAACCGGCUUGGGCUGCCUUGACCCGCCUUAAACCGCCUUAACCAUUCUAGACCCGGCUAAGGCCAUCUUGACCCGCAUAGAACCGCCUACGGCCACUAAGAAGCCGCCAUGACUUGCCAAGGGACGCCAAGGGGUUGCCUUUACACGCCUAAUGCUGGUUUGACCUCCCUAGGGCCCGCCAUGAUCCUCCUAGGGCCGUCUUGACCUGUCUAGGGCAGCGAAAGGGCCGUCAUGACACGCUUAGGGCCACCAAGGGGACGUCUUGACCCGCCAAAGGGGUGCUUUUACACGCCUAGGUCUGUUUUGACCUCCCUAGGGCCCGCUAUGACCCGCCAAGGGCAGCCAUGGGGCUACCUUGACGCGUCUUGGGCCGGUUUGACUCGCCUUGGCCUGUCUUAACCCGCCUUAACUCGCCUUGUCCUGCCUUGACCCGCCUUGGACUGCCUUGGGCCGCCUUGACCCGCCUUGGCCAACCUUGGACCGCCUUGGAUCACCUUGACCCACCCUGACCUGCCUUGGGCCGCCUUGAACCGCCUUGGGCCGCUUAGGGCCACAAAGAAGCCGCAAUGACUCGCCAAGGUGUCACCAUGACCCUUCUAGGCCCGUCUAGAGCUGCCAAGGGACCGCUUUAACCUGCCUUCACUCCUCUUGGGCAGCCUUGACCCUCCUCGGCCCUUCUAGGCCCACCUAGGGAAGCUAAGGGGGCGCCAUGACCCACGUAGGGCCGCCAAGGGCCUGCCUUGACAUUCCUAGGGCCGCCAAGGACCCGCCUUGACCAGUCUAAGGCCGCCAAGGACCCGCCUUGACCAGUCUAGGGCCGCCAAGGACUCGCCUUGACCAGUCUAGGGCCGUCAAGGACCCGCCUUGACCAGUCUAGGGCCGCCAAGAGGCCGUCUUGACAUUCCUAGGGCCGCUAAGUUGGCCGCCUUGACACGCUAAAGGCCGCAAAGGGGACGUCUUGACCCGCCAAGGGGCUGCCUUACAUGCCUAAUGCUGUUUUGACCUCCCUAGUGCCCGUCAUGACCCGCCUAGGGCCCGCCUUGGACCGCCUUGACUUGACUUGGGCUGCCUUGACCUGCCUUGACUCGCCAAGGGCCGCCUUGACAUUCUUAGACCCACCAAGGGGAUGCCUAAGGCCACCAUGGGGCCACCUUGACCCGCUUUGGACCGGCUUGGGCCGCCUUGACCGGCCUUGACCCGCCUUGAACAGCCUUGGGCCGCCUUGACCCUCCUAGACCCGCCGAGGGCCACCAAGAAGCUGUCAUCACUUGCCAAGGGGUCGCCAUGACCCGCCUAGGCCCGUCUAGGGUCGCCAAGAGACCGCCUUAACCCGCCUUGAUCCUCCUCGGCCCUGCUAGGCCUACCUAAGCCCAUCUAGGGUCGCGAAGGGGGCGCCAUGACGCACUUAGGGCUGGCUUUUCAUGCCUUGACUAUCCUAGGCUCGUCUAGGGCCACCUUGACCCGUCUAGGGCCGCCAAGAGACCGCCUUGACUUGCCUAGGGCCGCCAAGGGGACGUCUUGACCCGCUAAGUGGUUGUCUUUACUCGCCUAGGGCUGUUUUGACCUCCCUAGGGCCGCCAAGGGACUGUAUUGACCCGUUUAGGGGCUGCCUUGACCCUCCUAGACCCGCCUAGAUUCGCCUUAACCCUCCUAGACCCGCCUAGGGCAGCUGUUACACCCCUAAAGUCUCAUAGGCGGCAAGGUGCGCUGCAUGGGUUGUCCUUGCACCAUGUCGGGACGCAUGAAGGCACAAGCAAGGAUAAGCGCAAGUAGGAUGGCAAAGUUGGUAUGCGGCAACAAACCAAGCUAAAGGAAGGAAGGCGGCAUGGACCCUAAGGGCUCGGCAGGGUGCAGUGUCGGGUGCAUGAUAAGUGUGCUCGGCAGGGUGCAUUGUUGGGUGAGGCAGGAUGCAUGAAAAGGUGCACUGCUGGGUGCCUGUCAAGUGUGCUCGGCAGGGUGCUACGAGGGUGCGAGAAGGGUGCGCUGUAGGGUGCUCGACAGAGUGCUGGCAGGGUGCAGCAAAGGGUGCGCGCGGAUGCACUCUAGGGUGCAUACGUGUGCAUUGCGGUUACAAGCGGUUGAGAAAGGGUGUGAGAAGGGUGCAAGGAAGGUGCGCUGCAGGGUGCUGGCAGGGUGCAACAAAGGGUGCGCGCGGAUGCACUCUAGGGUGCAUACGUGUGCAUGGCGGUAACGGUUAAGAAAGCAAGUUAGUGGGAAGUUAUCUCCACAAACCAUGCAAGUUAGUGGGCGGUUACCUAGCACCAAAAGUGGGGAAGUUGGCAAGGAAGUUAUGUAUAUCUUGGUGGUUAUCUGGUUAUCUAAAAGGUAGUUAAUAAUCCUAUAAUAGUGGGGGAUGUCCACUAAUCCUAAAAUAAGGCAUGAACGCCACAACACCUAAGGGAAGUUGGGUUGUAACUUCCAAGUCCAGUAUGAUUAUAAAUAGGGCAUAGCCCAUAGUAUGUAAACUUGGAUUCAGACUUUGCCUAAAAGACUUGGCAAGCCAAAGACGAGUUCCCAUAUAAUUGUAGUUUGUUUUAUCAAUGAAAAAGGAAUGCCUAGUUCCACAAACUAUGUAUGCAUGUGAGCAUUGAGAAUCCCAACACUUGUGAGAAAUGAGGUAGACACUUGUGUGAAAAGAAAGGAUUGCAAUCCAAGAAGGUAUCAGAGUUGGUGUGUGCACACGAAAGCGUAGACCUGGCUUGAUAAGGCCCUCGCCUACCAGAACCAAGGCGUUGUAUGGGAGAUAGAUUUGGCUGGUCGAAGUUCAAAAGAGCCUAGAUGCCAUCACGGAGCCUUGCAUAUUGUUGCGAAACCAACAAAGUUGAGAAAAAUUCCGCUUCGUACUAAAGGCCCGUGACAGCAGCCAUGAUGCCGCCAUGACUCGCCAAGGGGUCACCAUGACCCUCCUAGGCCCGUUUAGGGCCGCCAAGGGGCCACCUUAACCUGCCUUGGUAUGCCUUGACCCGUCUUGCCCCGGCUUAACCCGCCUUGAACCGCCUUGACCCUCCUAGACUGCCAAGGGCCGCCUUGACCUUCCUAGAGCCGCCAAGGGGCUGCCUAGGGCCACCUAGGGCCGCCAUGACCCACCUAAGGCCGCAAAGGGGCUGCCUUUACACACUUUGAGCCUCCUAGGCCUGCCUAGGGCCACCUUAACCUGUCUAGGGCCGCCUUGACUAGCAUAGGGCACGCCAAGGGCCGCUAUUGGGACAUUUUGACCCGCCUUGACCCUCCUAAACCAGCGUAGAACCACCGCCAUGACUCGCCAAUGGGUCUCAAUGACUCUUCUAAGGCUGCCUUCACCCUCCUCGGCCCUGCCAGGCUCACCUAGGGCAGCCAAGGGGGCGCCAUGACCCACCAAGGUUUUACACAUCUUGACCCUCCUAGGCCCGCCUGGGGCCACCUUGACCCGUCUAGGGAUGCCAAGAGGCCGCCUUGACCAGCCUAGGGACGCCUUGACCCUCUUAGAACCGCCUAGGGCCACCAAAGAGCCGUCAUGACUCGCCAAGGGACGUCAAGGGGCUGCCUUUACACUCCUAAUGUUGUUUUCCCUAGGGCCCGCCAUGACCAGCCUAGGGCCGCCAAGGGGCUGCCUACGUCCGCCAUGAGGCCACCUUGACCCGUCUUGGGCCGCCUUGACCCGUCUUGGCCCGCAUUAGGCCGCCUGUACUCGUCUUGAACCGCCUUGGGCCAUCUAGACCCUCCGAGACCCGCCUAGGGCCGCCUUGACCCCCUAGACCCGCGUAGGGCCACUAAGAAGUCGACAUGACUCGCCAAUGGGUCUCAAUGGCUCCUCUAGGGCUCAAUGACUCGCCAAUGGGUCUCAAUGGCUGCCUUAACCCGCAUUAGGCCGCCUUGACCCGUCUUGUGUCGUCUUCACCCUUCUCGGCUCUGCCAGGCCCACCUUGGGUAGCCAAGGGGGAGCCAUAACCCACCUAGGGCCGUCACAGGGCUGCCUAUACACGCCUUGACCUUCCUAGGUCCACCUAGGGCCACCUUGACCUGUCUAGGGACUCCAAGAGGUCGCCUUGACCUGUCUAGGGUCACUAAGGGGCCGCCUUGACACGCAUAGGACCGCCCAAGGGACGUCAUGACCCGCCGAGAGGCUACCUUUACACGCAUAGGGUUGUUUUGACCUCUCUAAGGCCCGCCAUGACCCACCUAUGGCCGCCACGGGGCUGCCUAUACACGCCUUGACCUUCCUACGGAUACCUUGACCCGUCUACGGCCACCUUAACCCGCCUUGACCCACCAUGGGCUGCCUUGGACCCACCUAGGGCUGUCAUGAGGCCAGCUUGACCCGUCUAGGGCCACCUUGACCCGCCUUGGGUCGCCUUUGACCCUCCUUGGGCCACCUUAACCCUCCUUGACCCGCCUAGGGCCGCCUUGACCAGCCAAGGGCUGCCUCCUUGGGCCGCCUUGACCCUCUUAGAACUGCCUAGGGCCACCAAGAAGCCGCCAUGACUCGUCAAGGGGUUGCCAUGACCCUCGUAAGCCCGUUUAGGACCGCCUUAACUACCCUUGGGCAGCCUUCACCCUCCUCGGCCCUGCCAGGCCCACCUAGGGCAGCCAAGGGGGGGGGGGGGCCGACGACCCACCUAGGGCCGCCACGGGGCUGCUUUUACAUGCCUUGACCCUCCUAGGCCCGCCUAGGGCUGCCUUGACCCAUUUAGGGACGCCAAGGGGGCCGCCUUGACACGGCUAGGGCAACCAAGGGGACGUCUUGACCAGCCAUGGGGCUGCCUUUACACUCCUAAUGCUGUUUUGAUAUCCCUAGGGCCCGUCAUGACCCGCCUAGGGCCGUUAAGGGGCUGCUUGCUUACGUCCGCCAUAGGGCCACCUUGACCCUCCUUGGCCCGUCUUGGGCCGCCUUGACACGUCAUGGACCGCCUUGACCCGUGAUGGGCUACCUUGACCCACCUUGGCCCACCUUUACUCGUCUUGAACCGCCUUACACCGCCUUGACCCUCCUAGACCCACGUAGGGACGCCUUGACCUGCCUAGACACACGUAGGGCCACCAAGAAGCCGUCAUGACUCGCCAAGAGGUCUCAAUGACUCUUCUAGGGCCGCCAAAGGGCCGCCUUCACCCUCCUCGGCCCUGCCAGGCUCACCUAGGACAACCUACGGGGGGGCCAUGACCCACCUAGGGCCGCCUUGACCUGCCUAGGGCUGCCUUGACAUGCUUAGGGCCACCAAGGGGACGUCAUGACAAGCUGAGGGGCUACCUUUACACACCUAGGGUUGUUUUGACCUCCCUAUGGCCCGCCAUGACCCUCCUACGGCCGCCAAGGGGUUGUCUAGGGCCGCCAUGGGGCCACCUUGACCCGUCUAGAGCCGUCUUGACCCGCCUUGACCCGUUUUGGUCCGCCUUAACCCGGCUUGGCCUACCUUUGACUCGCCUUGGGCCGCCUCGACCCGCUUUGGUCCGUCUUGAUCCGUCUUGGACCGUCAUGGGCCGCUUUAACCCACCUCGAUCCGUCUUGGCCCGCCUUGAACCGCCUUGGGCCACCUUGACCCUACUAGACUCGUCAAUGGGUUGCCUAGGGCCGCCUUGACCUUCCUACUGCCGCCUUGACCCUUCUAGAGCCACCAAGAAGCCGCCAUGACUCGCAAGGGGUCGCCAUGAUCCUCGUAGGCCUUCCUUGGGCCGCCUUCACCCUCCUCGGCCUUGCCAGGCCCACCAAGGGCAGCUAAAGGGGCGCUAUGGCCCACGUAGGGCCGCCACGGGGCUACCUUUACAGGCCUUGACCCUUCUAGGCCCGCCUAGGGCCACCUUGACCCAUCUAGGUACACCAAGGGGGCCGCCUUAACACGCCUAGGGCCCCCAAGGGGACGUCUUGACACGCCUAGGGCCCCAAGAGGACGUCUUGACCAGCCAAGGGGUUGCCUUUACACUCCUAACGUUGUUUUGACCUCCCUAGGGCCCGCUAUGACCUGCCUAGGGCUGCUUACGUCCACCAUAAGGCCACCUUGACCCGCCUUGGGCCACCUUUACUCGUCUUGAACCGCCUUGGGCCGCCUUGAUCCUUCUACACCCGCCUAGGCUGCCAUGACCCUCCUAGACCCGCGUAGGGCCACCAAGAAGUUGCCAUGACUCGCCAAAGGGUCUCAAUGACUCUUCUAGGGAUGCCAAAGUGCCUCCUUAACCCGCCUUGACACGUGUUAGACCGCCUUCACCCUCCUCGGCCUUGCCAGACUCACCUAGGGAAGCCAAGGGGGGGCCAUGACCCACCUAGGGCAGCCACGGGGCUGGCUUUACACGCUUUGACCCUCCUAAGCCCACAUGGGGCCACCUUAACCCGUCUAGGGACGCCAAGAGGCCUCUUUGACCUGUCUAGGGCCGCCUUGACCCUCCUAUAACCGCCUAGGGUCACCAAGAAGCUGCCAUGACUUGCCAAGGGACGCCAAGGGGCUGCCUUUACAAGCCUAAUGUUGUUUUGACCUGCCUAGGGCCCGCCUAGGGCCGCCAAGGGGAUACCUACGUCCGCCAUGGGGCCACCUUGACCCGCCUUGGCCUGUCUUGCGCCGCCUUGACUCGCCUGGACCCUCCUUGGCCCGCAUUAAGUCGCCUUUACUCAUCUUCAACCGCCUUGACCCGUCUAGGGCCGCCUUAACCCCCUAGACCCGCGUAGGGCCACUAAGAAGCCGCCAUGACUCGCCAAGGAGCCGCCUUAACCCGCCUUAGGCCGCUUUGACCCGUCUUGGGCCGCUUUCACCCUCCUCGGCCCUGCCAGGCCCACCUAGGGCAGCCAAGGGGGUACCAUGAUCCACCUAGGGCCGCCACGGGGCUGGCUUUACACGCUUUGGCCCUCCUAGGCCCGCCUAGGGCCACCUUGACCAGUCUAGUUAUGCCAAGUUGCCGCCUUGACCUGCUUAGGGCCGCCAAUGGGACGCCUUGACACACCUAGGGCUGCCAAGGGGACGUCAUGAUCCGCCGCCUUUACACUCCUAGGGUCGUUUUGACCUGCCCGUCUAGGGACGCCAAGAGGCCGUCUUGACCUACCUAGGGCCGCCAAGAGGCCACCUUGACACGCCUAGGGCCGCCAAGGGGACGUCAUGACCCGUCGAGGGGCUGCCUUUACACGUCUAGGGUCAUUUUGACCUCCUUAGGGCCCGCCAUGACCCUCCUAUGACUGUUAAGGGGCUGCCUAGGGCCGCCAUGGGCCACCUUGACCCGUCUAGGGCCGCGUUGACCCACCUUGACCCGCUUUGGCCCGCCUUAACCCGCCUUGGACCGCCAUGGGCCGCCUUGACCCGCCUUGGACCUCCUUGGGCCGCCAUGACCCGCCUUCGGGCUGCCAUACCGCCUGGCGCCUUGACCUGCCUUGAACCGCCCUGACCCUCUUAGACCCGCCUAGGCGCCUUAACCCUUCUAGACCCGCUUUGGUCCCGCCUUGACCCGCCAUGGGCCGCCUUGACCCGCCUUGAACCUCCUAGACCCACCUAGGCCCACCUUGACCUGCCUUGACCCUCCUUGGGCCACCAUGAUCCGCCUUGACCCUCUUAGGCCGGUCUAAGGCCGCCUUGACCCUCCUUGACCCUCCUAGGGCCACAAAGAAGCUGCCAUGACUCGCCAAGGAGUCGCCAUGACCCUCCUCAGCCCAUCUAGGGCCGCCAAGUGGCCCCGUUAACCCGCCUUAGGCUGCCUUGACCCGUCUUAACCCGCAUUGACCCUCCUCGGCUUUGCUAGGCCCACGUAAGGCAGCCAAAGGGGCGCCAUGACCCAGUUAGGGCCGCGAAGGGGCUGCCUUUAUAUAAGAAUGUGUUGGAAGGAGUCUUUAUUAACAAAUGGAAUGGUUCCUCUCAUUUCACCUUCCCGAUGUGAAACUGAUGUUGUGCUGGUACCAACAAUAGGCUAUGACCAUAAUUUUUUUUUUUGUUGAGAGGAAUGACCAUAAAAAGUUGGACACUAGAAAACUUCUAAAACACAAACAUUAAGACCUCGUUUGGUUCGUGAAAUGGUUCAUUUAUCUUAAGGAAAGAAAACGGAAAUAAAAUUUCAUAAUAACUUUCUAUUUCGACGUUUGGUAACGCAAGGAAAUUCAUCGGAAAAGUUGUUAAAUUAAUAUUAAAAUAUUGUGUUGUGACUAAUUAAUGCAGGUAAAAUAAGAAGAAAAGUGGUUCAUUUGGAUUUUAGAAGGAAUCACUUUCCUCUAUGUUUUAUUUCCUUUUUCUUUCAAACACAGGAAAAGAAUAACUUUGCUUUGAUGAUGCUUACUUUCCACGGAACAAAAAAAACAAAGUGAACUGCUCAAACACUGUGGUAAACUUUCGAAAAUUA